UACUUUCUAGGAGCAUCUUCCGAUACUCCUACUAUGUUACGACUUAUCUUAUUUUAAAAUAAGAGCGACGGGCGAUGUGUGCAUAUUUUAGAGCUAAAAUCAAAUUAGUAAGCAUCUAAUUUUACUUUUAAAUCCACCUUCAUAUAAUAAUAAUUAUUACAAUCCAUAUAAAUAAAUUUAUUGUAACCCAUCUCUCCUUAUUCAUAAAUUGCACCUUGACCUGACAUAUCAUGUUUUAUAUUAAUAGAAUAUUACCUCUAAAAAGAUACUCUUAUGACGGAGGUAUACAAACUGAAAACAAAAAUAAGUGAAUAACCUCGUGGACUAUCGAUUACAGGACAGGUUCCUCUAAAAAGAAUAAAAUACCGCCAAAUUCUCUGGGUUUCAAGAACAUAACUAUUACUACCCUGGUUAAUAUUAACAUCUAAAAUAAAAGGGUAUCUAAUCCUUGUUUCUUAAUAUAGAUUUCAUAGCUUCAAUAAAAUCACUUAUAAUUAAAAUUAAAAUUUCACCUAAAAAUAUUAAAUAUAAAAAUAAAAUAUAUCUAACUAUUAAACCAAAAAUAUUUAUUUAUUCCCUACGUAUAACCGCGGCAGCUGGCACGACUUUAACCGGAAAUAUAUAAAUUGCUAUUUCCAAUAUUCCAUUGAAGAAUAAUAAUAACCACUACAAUCAAUUAUAUUUAUUAUUAAAACAAAUACAUCAAUGCAAAAACUAAUAUAUGGCACAAUUAUAAAAUAAAUAUAUAGCAAGAAUAAAACUUUAA
Molecule: ribosomal RNA, 766 nt
Filed under: Somatochlora hineana
Lineage: Eukaryota; Metazoa; Arthropoda; Insecta; Odonata; Corduliidae
Description: small subunit ribosomal RNA
Source: RNAcentral